RNAcentral lists this ribosomal RNA (1183 nucleotides) under Phyllopetalia apicalis. RNAcentral describes it as "partial 16S ribosomal RNA". Lineage: Eukaryota; Metazoa; Arthropoda; Insecta; Odonata; Austropetaliidae. The record is from RNAcentral.
AAUUUUACCUUACUAUAUUAUUUUAUAAAGUUUUAGAGAAAUAUCUUUAAUUUUAGUAUACUAAAGAAAUAAUUUUAAUAGUGAUAGUUUAUUAGUACUGUGAAGGAAUUUGGUGAAAUAUAAUGAAAAUUUUAUUUUUUGAAAGUAGAUUUAAUUUAUUGUACCUUUUGUAUUAGGGUUAAUCAAAUAUUUUUAAUUUAAUAUUUAAUUUCUCGAUUUCAGAAGAGCUAAUAUAUUAAUUUAUUUAAUGUUUUAUAAUUAUUAAAAAUAUAUAUUAGAGGAGAAAUUCUAUUCGUUUUUAAAGGUAUCUAGUUUUUUAAGAAAUAAAUUUAAUUUAGAUUUAUUAUUUAAUUUAUUUAUUUAUAAAUAAAUUAUUUAUAUAAAAUUAAUGGAAUAGGGGAUAAGCUCUAUUUUAAUUCUAUAAAUAUCUUUAGAUAAUUAAUUUAUGUAGGGUUAAGAACAUCCAUCAUUAACAAGUACGUUAUAGUAUAAAUUAAUUUAAAUUGAUUUUCUUUAUUUUAGAAAUAUAUUAAAAUAUCAGAUUUAAUAAUUUAUUUUUGAGUAAUAAUGAUUAAAUUAGUAUAUAUAUUUAUAAAAAUUUUUAUUAAUUGAGAUGAUUUUAUAAGGAACUCGGCAAGAUAACACUCGCCUGGUUAACAUGAACAUGUCUUCUUGUUAAUAUUUAGGAAGUCUAACCUGCCCGGUGAAAAUUAUUUUAACGGCCGCGGUAUAUUGACCGUGCAAAGGUAGCAUAAUCAUUAGUCUUUUAAUAGAGGGCUGGUAUGAAGGGUUUGACGAGGUGUUGACUGUCUCAUUUAAUUUGAUUUUAGAAAUUAAUUUUUCAGUUAAAAAGCUGAAAUAAUAUUGGAAGACGAGAAGACCCUAUAGAGCUUUAUAGUUGAUUUAUUAAUUUAUUUUUGUUUAUUAUUAUUUAUUAUUAUAUUAACUAUUUUGUUGGGGUGACAAAAAUAUAUAAUUAACUUUUUUAUUAAAUGAACAUUGAUAUAUGAUUUAUUAGAUCCAAUCUUAUUGAUUGAUAGAACAAGUUACCUUAGGGAUAACAGCGUAAUCUCCCUCCAGAGUUCUUAUUUACAGGGAGGCUUGCGACCUCGAUGUUGGAUUAAGAUUAUAAUUAGGUGUAGCCGCUUAAUAAAUAGUCUGUUCGACCUUUAAAUUCUUACAU